RNAcentral lists this non-coding RNA (25 nucleotides) under Rattus norvegicus (Norway rat). The record is from RNAcentral. Lineage: Eukaryota; Metazoa; Chordata; Mammalia; Rodentia; Muridae.
UGUUCCUUUGGGGCUCUUGUGUCCU